This 254-nucleotide ribosomal RNA is filed under the name uncultured bacterium. RNAcentral's name for it is "partial 16S ribosomal RNA". It matches the Rfam family "Bacterial small subunit ribosomal RNA", at positions 524 to 776 of the family's 1533-position model. The record is from RNAcentral.
UACGGAGGGUGCAAGCGUUAUCCGGAUUUACUGGGUUUAAAGGGUGCGUAGGCGGGUUGUUAAGUCAGUGGUGAAAGAUUCGAGCUCAACUCGGAAACUGCCAUUGAUACUGAUGACCUUGAAUACAGUUGAGGUAGGCGGGAAUGUGUCAUGUAGCGGUGAAAUGCUUAGAUAUGACACAGAACACCGAUUGCGAAGGCAGCUUGCUAAACUGUGAUUGACGCUGAGGCACGAAAGCGUGGGGAUCAAACAGG